CUUUGAUGGAUUUGUAAGUGAGCAAAUGGGUGAACUCUAUGAGGCAGUGAACUGAGCAAUCAGCUGCCAACUAGGCUCUGUUACAGUUACACCUCUAGGUUAGUGUCUCUGCACGUUCUUUUGGCGCUUGCACCUGAGCAUACGAGGCUGCGUUAUCCACUUGAGAGUAACAGAGAGCUGUGCCUGAAUCCACUGUUGUCACGGAGCUAAAGGCAGUGAAUUCUGCUAAAAUGACGCUGGUGUUGCUGCUGUCACUGCUCAUUGACCCCUGUCUGUCGCUGCUGUCGCUGCUCAUUGACCCCCGUCGCAUGGUCUCAAUCACUACCCCCCGUUGAGGCGGUAACGCCUCACCCUUAACAACAUACUGGCCAGAAAAGGAGGCUGAGGACAUCACCAUCCGCCGUGCGCAGGGGAUCACACAGCAGGCCACCAGAGCCAUAAGGAGAAGGAGGACGAACAGGGACGCUCCCAAGCGGGUCAGGGUAGCAGUCCAAUCUCCAGAAAGAAACCAGGAGAGCCACGGCGGGAGGCGGAGACUAG
Ictalurus punctatus (channel catfish) is the source of this 540-nucleotide long non-coding RNA. NCBI's taxonomy places the organism in Eukaryota, Metazoa, Chordata, Actinopteri, Siluriformes, Ictaluridae. The record is from Ensembl.